This is a non-coding RNA of Vigna umbellata (rice bean), 362 nucleotides long. Lineage: Eukaryota; Viridiplantae; Streptophyta; Magnoliopsida; Fabales; Fabaceae. The record is from RefSeq and is a predicted model, not a curated record.
UGAUUCCUAUUUGUUUUUUUAUUAGUGAAACAUCUUUUCAUUUGAUAUGAAAGUUUUGCUGUUCUCAAUAUCCUGUUUUUGGUUUGUUAGAUGCUAUGCUCGUCUUCACCCAAGGGCUGUGAACUGCCGCAAGAAAAAGUGUGGCCACAGUAAUCAGUUGAGGCCAAAGAAGAAGAUCAAGUAAAUCUUGGUUGAUGUUGUCGGUCUCUUGUUCGUUGUGGAUUUGGGACUGGACUGGUUUGUUGAUUUAUAUACCUGUCGUUAAUUGUCUUUGGUUUGGUUUUAUUAAUGUGACAUGUUUUGGUGGAUAUUUUUGUAGUGGUCAGUUAUAUUGCUAUGAUGACGACAUUAAAUUAUGCUUC